Molecule: small RNA, 639 nt
Filed under: Pan troglodytes (chimpanzee)
Lineage: Eukaryota; Metazoa; Chordata; Mammalia; Primates; Hominidae
Description: retained intron
Source: RNAcentral
GGAGAGCCGUGGGCCCAGUGCCCGUUGCCUGCCUGUUGUUCCUGGGAGCCUACUACCAGGCCUGGAGCCAGCAACCAAGCUCAUGCCCGGAGGAUUGGCUCCAGGACAUGGAGCGCCUGUCAGAGGAGCUGCUGCUGCCACUGCUGAGUCAGCCCACACUGGGCAGCCUGUGGGAUUCCCUUAGGCACUGCUCCCUUCUCUGCAACCCGCUGUCCUGUGUGCCAGCCCUUGAAGCUCCCCCCAGCCUCGUGUCACUGGGCUGCUCGGGAGGCUGCCCCCGUCUCAGUCUGGCUGGCUCAGCCUCACCCUUCCCAUUCCUCACUGCCCUCCUCUCUCUUCUUAAUACCCUGGCCCAGAUCCACAAGGGGCUGUGUGGCCAGGUAAGUGUGGGGUGCCUGAUUAGGGGCCAGGCAAGGGGCCAAGAUGGCAGGAAUCAGAAAGAAAGUGGGAGGGUGGGAUGGGCGCGGUGGCUCACGCCUGUAAUCCCAGCACUUUGGGAGGCCGAGGUGGGCAGAUCACCUGAGGUCGGGAGUUCGAGACCAGCCUGGCCAACAUGGAGAAACCCCAUCUCUACUAAAAAUACAAAAUUAGCCAGGCAUGAUGGCACAUGCCUGUAAUCCCAGCUACUCGGGAGGCUGA